This 785-nucleotide long non-coding RNA is filed under the name Vulpes vulpes (red fox). The record is from RNAcentral. Lineage: Eukaryota; Metazoa; Chordata; Mammalia; Carnivora; Canidae.
ACAUGUCAACUUUAUCCUGCAGGUGGCAGGGGAGGAUAUGGUUGCCAGUCUCUCUGGGGACAUAUUCUUAUAGCUCUUGGCAAGAAAAGAAAAAGGAACCCAAGAAGAACUAUGAUUGGACUGACUUACAGGACACAGCUGUCCUGACCCAGCACUGUGGCCAGCUGCAUGAGAUAAGCACAGUCUACAUUCCCAGUUUUGCCUUUCCCUUCAGUGCUGGGAAAAGAGAGAAGAGAAAAGAAAACAGGAAAAGGAGACAAGAGCUCACAUUCAUGGUCCUAGAAUGCUGGAACUUGGAAGACUCCACAUUAAGCCUUCUUUGCAGUAACUGGUGAGGAAACACUGAGACCCAAAGAGCCAAGUCAUCCUUGGGGUCAUAGACUGGGAGAACUAUGCCCUUGGUGAAACUAUUUUCAAAACUACUAAUGAGCCUCUCCAUGUGAGUACAAUGAACUCUUAUCUUGUAUUUUAUUGUCUCAAUGUGCCAUCAACAAUUAGUUAUCAAUCAAGUAUAUGCUAUGUCUAACAUUUUUUCCUGUUUAUAAAUGUGAAAAAUGAAAUUUUUACUUUCUGAAAACUUAAAACUCCAUAGCCUAUGAAAGCUUACACUUUUUUUCUGAAGUAUAUUAAAAGAAGCAUAGUACAGUGCUCACUUCGGCAGCACAUAGACUAAAAUUGGAACAAUAUAGAGAAGAUUAGCAUGGCCCCUGUACAAGGAUGACACACAGAUUUGUGAAGCAUUCUAUAUUUAAGAACUAAAUAAAAAAUAAAAGAAGCAUAGUACA